RNAcentral lists this transfer RNA (73 nucleotides) under Crassvirales sp. RNAcentral's name for it is "tRNA-Thr". It matches the Rfam family "tRNA". From Rfam's summary of the family: Transfer RNA (tRNA) molecules are approximately 80 nucleotides in length. Their secondary structure includes four short double-helical elements and three loops (D, anti-codon, and T loops). Lineage: Duplodnaviria; Heunggongvirae; Uroviricota; Caudoviricetes; Crassvirales. The record is from RNAcentral.
GGUCUUUUAGUACAAUGGUUUAGUAUACUUGCUUUGUAACCAAGUGAUGUAAGUUCGAUUCUUACAAGGACCU